UUAGGUUAGAAUUUUCAAUUUCACACCUCACUUUAGGGUUCAAGUUCAUGCAGCUUCUACCAUCUCUUUGACUCACCCUCUUGUCUCGGCCUCUCGUCUUAUGCCAUCGUCGGCGUUCAAUUGUCUCCCCUUCUCAAUCUUCGGUUGUCUCUCCUUCUCAGAAGUCUCUUUCUCAUAAAUCUCUCAAUCUUCGAUCGUCUCUCCUUCUUAGAAGUCUUCGAUUGUCGCUCGGGAGACUCGCUCAUCUCACGCCAUCGUUGGCAUUCAAUCAUCCCUCCUCACUCUUUGACCAUCUCUCCUUGCAAGUUUAUUUAGCUCAUAACUGAAACAUUUUUUUUCAAGUUUCUUGGAUUUUCAGUUGUUCGAAUUUCUUUUAACAAUAGUUGGAAGUUCAAAACUGGGAAGGUGCGCCAAAUUAUUUAAUUCAUCUAAUUGUUUUACAUUGCUACCUUCUUUGUCUUCCACUUGGUCUAAUUUUGCAAAUUGUGAAGAACAAUCUAGGGGAGCUGGUAAGAGAAAAGACUUCUGGUUCUCAGUUUGGUGGAGAGUGGGUAAUUGUUCUUUAAAAUAAUUUAUAUUCUUUUAUAUAUAUAUUACAUGCUACUUAUAUUGUUUAGAUGGCAGCAAAGUGUUGAAAGGUUUUAUGAAAAUAGUAUUUGGUUUUCGUCAUUUGCCCAACCAGCAAUGUGGGGGCAUCCUUUGUAAUGAAUUUUUGGUUUUAAUAAGCUUCUAAGCCAGAAAAGUGAUGGAAAAUUGCCAAAAAUAGGUUAAAAAAGAGGGUUAAAUGACUUUUGGGAUAACUUUUCAAAAGGAAGAGUUUUAGGACAAUUUAGGUGUGAAUGGACAAAAAUGCCUUCAUUAAAUUUCUCUUCCUCUUUUCCUUUCCCUCUUCCACGUUCGCUUUCCCUUCUCUCCACAAUUGAUUUCUCUUAUCUUUCGCGUAGAGUUCCCUUUCCCUUCUCUUUUGCGUAGAACACUUGAAGAUACUCCGGCCAUUCGUCGCUUGCCCUUCAUCGCUUGCCCUUCGUCGGUCGUCCAGUGCAUUUCGUCGCUCCUCUUCGAACCAUUCAAUCAACUUCGAGCGUUUUCUCUUAUUUCGAUCAGGGAGGCUAUUCUAUUUGCUUUAGCUUCUUUGGCAGAAUAGUUGAUUGAAGUAGAGAGUGACAAGAGUUGGGUUGGGAAGUUUUUUAGGGAAAACAUUGACCGAAGACAUGUCUAUAGGUCCUCAUGACUGUCCCUUCUUUUAUGUAUAUUAACAUCAGUUGCCAAGUUCUCCUCUAUGAUUAGGAGUGACCUUAUUAAUCAGUUCCUUCAGAAGCUGUGAAGGCUCUUGGCGUGGACGUACCACCUCCUGUGAAAGCUGGUGCCUGCAGGGCACUUUCCGAGCUCCUACCUGAAGCAAACAAAGAAAUCAUUGGGUCUGAAAUGAUGUUUUUGUUUUCAUCACCUGGAAAUCUUCUCAAUGGGUGAAAGCAUUGAAUGUGAUCAAGGCUUGUCUUGGCCGGAGAGUGGUAUUCUUGGGUUGGUGAUGAUUUGUAUGGUGACAGUGAUCUACCUCCUUGGUCUGGUGUUUUUCUUCUUCCUUCCCCCCAGCUAUGGUUCUUGUGGUGAUGGAGAUUAAAUGGUUGAUUUCGUUAUUGUUUGUAGAAUGAUUGAAGUCAUAUGGUGUUGAAAGAAACUAUCUGUAGAUAGUCUGGUGAUCGAGUAGAAAGCUAAGCCAUCACUGAAGGUUUUAAAGAUUAUGGAGGUGUUUAGGAUUUCUUAUUUAAGCCUCGUAUUAGGAUUUUGUUUCAUGUACUGUUGUAGAAUGUAUAUAUAAACAUAAUAUUAAGACUUCAUUUUGUGUAUACAAAUGUAAAAGACAUAUUAUAAUUUUUAAAAUAAUAUUACUUUUAUUGA
This is a long non-coding RNA of Cucumis melo (muskmelon), 1899 nucleotides long. RefSeq lists it as uncharacterized. The record is from RefSeq and is a predicted model, not a curated record. NCBI's taxonomy places the organism in Eukaryota, Viridiplantae, Streptophyta, Magnoliopsida, Cucurbitales, Cucurbitaceae. The transcript is spliced from 7 exons.